Molecule: small nuclear RNA, 108 nt
Organism: Diceros bicornis minor
Lineage: Eukaryota; Metazoa; Chordata; Mammalia; Perissodactyla; Rhinocerotidae
Source: RefSeq, a predicted model, not a curated record
GUGCUCAAUUUCAGCAGCACAUACACUAAAGUUAGAACAAUACAGAGGAGAGUAGCACAGCCCCUGCACAAGAACGAGAUGCAAAUCCGUGAAGCGUUUCAUAUUUUA